GCAGCGGCAGCGGCGGCGGCUGGAACGGUCAACUCGGCCGAGGGCGGCUUCCAACUGCUGUGAGUGCACGGGGAGAGGCCCAGGAGGCAGCGGCGGCGGCGGCAGCAGCUCUCGGGUUGCGGUGAAGAAUGUCAGCCACUAGCGUGGAUCAGAGACCUAAAGGGCAAGGAAAUAAGGGUGGGAAAACAUGAUGCACAGAUCUGUUGACUUUCCUAACUUGAUGUAGUCAGACCAGAGCAAAGAAUCAUCUGGCUCCUAAGGCCCAUGUUCUAUCUUGAUUUGACUCUGCUUCAUAGAGCAGAGGAAACAGGCGAAGAAUCAUUUUCAGUACAAAACGGUUCCAUUCAUCAAAAAGAUGCUGUAAAUGAUGAUGAUUUUGAGCCAUACUUAAGCAGCCAGACAAAUCAGAGUAACAGCUAUCCACCAAUGUCAGAUCCAUACAUGCCUAGUUACUAUGCUCCAUCCAUUGGAUUUCCAUAUUCUCUUGGGGAAGCAGCAUGGUCCACGGCGGGAGACCAACCUAUGCCAUAUCUGACAACCUAUGGACAAAUGAGUAAUGGAGAACAUCAUUAUAUACCAGAUGGUGUGUUUAGUCAACCUGGGGCAUUAGGAAAUACCCCUCCAUUUCUUGGUCAGCAUGGAUUUAACUUUUUUCCUGGUAAUGCUGAUUUCUCUACAUGGGGGACAAGUGGAUCUCAGGGACAAUCAACGCAAAGUUCUGCUUAUAGUAGCAGUUACGGCUAUCCACCUAGUUCUCUUGGGAGAGCUAUUACUGAUGGACAGGCUGGAUUUGGCAAUGAUACUUUGAGUAAGGUGCCCGGCAUUAACAGUAUUGAGCAAGGCAUGACGGGACUGAAAAUUGGUGGUGACCUGACAGCUGCAGUGACAAAAACUGUAGGUACAGCCUUGAGCAGCAGUGGUAUGACUAGCAUUGCAACCAAUAGUGUCCCAGUUAGCAGUGCAGCACCUAAACCGACCUCCUGGGCCGCCAUUGCUAGAAAGCCUGCCAAACCUCAACCGAAACUUAAACCCAAGGGCAAUGUGGGAAUUGGGGGUUCAGCUGUGCCACCACCUCCUAUAAAACACAACAUGAAUAUUGGAACUUGGGACGAAAAGGGGUCUGUGGUAAAGGCUCCACCAACCCAACCAGUUCUGCCUCCUCAAACUAUAAUCCAGCAGCCUCAGCCAUUAAUUCAACCACCACCAUUGGUGCAAAGCCAACUGCCUCAACAGCAGCCUCAGCCACCACAACCACAACAGCAACAAGGACCUCAGCCACAGGCCCAGCCUCACCAAGUGCAGCCCCAACAGCAACAGCUGCAGAACCGCUGGGUAGCUCCUCGGAAUAGGGGAGCUGGCUUCAACCAGAACAAUGGAGCGGGCGGUGAAAAUUUUGGUUUAGGUGUUGUUCCUGUCAGUGCUUCACCUUCUAGUGUAGAAGUGCAUCCAGUGCUGGAGAAGCUAAAGGCCAUAAACAACUAUAAUCCCAAAGACUUUGACUGGAACCUGAAGAAUGGACGUGUGUUUAUAAUUAAAAGCUAUUCUGAGGAUGACAUUCACCGUUCCAUUAAGUACUCUAUCUGGUGUAGUACUGAGCAUGGUAAUAAGCGUUUGGAUGCAGCUUACCGUUCCCUGAAUGGGAAAGGCCCACUCUAUUUACUCUUCAGUGUGAAUGGCAGUGGACAUUUUUGUGGAGUGGCUGAAAUGAAGUCUGUUGUGGACUAUAAUGCAUAUGCUGGUGUCUGGUCUCAGGAUAAGUGGAAAGGCAAAUUUGAAGUUAAGUGGAUCUUUGUCAAAGAUGUUCCCAAUAACCAAUUACGGCAUAUUCGCUUAGAAAAUAAUGACAACAAACCAGUUACCAAUUCAAGGGACACUCAAGAGGUACCCCUAGAAAAAGCUAAGCAAGUGCUUAAAAUAAUUGCUACUUUCAAGCAUACCACCUCAAUCUUUGAUGACUUUGCACAUUACGAAAAGCGUCAAGAAGAGGAGGAAGCCAUGCGUAGGCUGAAAUUCCUUAAAGCUUCCGGUAUGUGAAGAUUACAUUCUCUCAGAUGCAUGUUCUUCAGAUCUUGGCAGACAAUACAUGAUCACUCCAGGAACAUACGUAUAUAUUUAACUGAGAGAAAUAGAAACAAACAAUAACCAUAUGAAGAUGUCCUGUUAGAAUUACAACACUAAUGAUGUAGACUCUGGAAAUGCCUAAUAAGUCAAAGAAGACGUUAUUAAAGCUUUUUUCUGCUUAAGGUGACAUCUCUGGACUCUUUAACACAGAAUUGACUCUUGUAAUGGUUUUCAUCAGCGCAUCUGCCCUUAUACUCUCACCAAACACACUUGAGAACUGUAACUUCGUCAAGCACUUUUUGUCCUGAAGCUUUUACCAGUAUCUGCUGUCUUUUGUAAUUAUGCAUCCUAGCUAAGGCACAGAAGACUGAAUGAAUGCAAGGAUUCAUUAACUCUUUGAAUUUGUUAAAUACUAACAGUUAACCAUUAGAAGUGGUUCAAUGAUGUAAGAGUCACACUGCUUCAACUUUUCUUUGUUGUAGUUUUUAAAUUGUCGAUUUUUAGCUAUUUGACAGAUUAAAAGCAAAAUAAUCAUGCCAUAUUUAGUCCUGGAGUUCAAGUCUAAAUGUUUAUGUGAAGAAUUAUUGUAGUAAACUUUUAAUAUGGCAAAGCAACCUUAAGCUCUAUUUUAGCCAAAUGAGACAUAAUCCGAGAUUAUAUUAGAACAUUACCCUUGUCUUUAAACCGUUUGGUGUAACAGAAUGUUGAUAUGCAGCUUGGUGGAUUUCACCAGUUAAUGCACAUUCUUCUCCCUUGCCCCAAUAAUAUGUAUACUGAAAAAUGUGCAUUUGUCUGAGGAAUUAUUUUGUUUGCUACCACUUAAUGAAUCUCAAAAUUUUGAGUAAAUGUACCUCAGUCUAAUCAGACUUUUUAUGACCUUUAUAACUACAUGUAAAACCCUUAAUUCCUGUUUCUGGGUGUUUGCGAGCCUGAUUGCUAUCAUGAAGUAAAAAUUUAUUACUCUAGGUAUUCACUAGCUAAAUAAACAUAGUUCUUGUUUAGCAAGCAUAUACUGUUCCUCAGCUAUUUUCUCCAGCUUUUGCAGUGUCCUGGCAUUCUUAAAAUACUUUGGAAAUAUGGCCUUGAUUCAUGGAUUAAAUCAGUAUCUAAGUGAAUGUGUUGAUGUUUUACUGAUCAGAUCUAUAUAAAUGGGAAUACAGCAUAUAUCUGGGUAUUCUUAUAGUUAUCUUUUUAACAUCUUAUUUUUCUCAUUAAUUACAUAUCAACAUUAAUUUUGUAUCUUGAAGCAAAUUGAUUUUGUAUGAAUUAAAUGUGUCAAGCAUCUGUAUUAAACGAUUUGAUGGCAUACAGUUGUGAAGAUCAUGUACUGUCCCUUAUGUUAUUCCAAAAGGAGAAAGCUGUGAUGAAAGAUAUGAGAAGGGUGAAAAUAGCAAUACAGUAGAUUUGAAUGCUGUGGUGUUUUGCAUUACUCCAUUUAUGUUUACAUCAUGUUAGAAACCUUUUCACUGACAUCUUUGAUCACAUCGGUUCAAAAAUUUAGUGACGUAUUUCUUUGAGGCUUUCAUUUAUAUAAUUUUUUGUACAAUAUUUUCUUAAAAUAUACAAAUACUGUAUUCAAGUGAAAUAAAAUGCAGUAUUUGUAGAUAAUCGUAGCUACUUCACAGGUCUUUGGUAGUUCCAUUGUAGUUACAUCAGUGUUUACUGAAGGGAACAUUAAAAUAUUAAAGGUAUAUUACAAAAUAAAGACUUUCUUAAAGGAAAGUUGCACCUAUUUUACCUUUUUAAGAGUAAGCCAUGAAAUCUUAUCUUGUAACAUGUCUCUUAACUAUUUAUAAUAAAAAUUGGCAUUUGGGUAUAGUAACCACAGCAACGUUCUACAGCCCUGAGAUUAUAUAGGUAGGACGUGUCAAAGGUGACUGUUGUCACUCUGGAGGUCCUAUUAGAGAAAACUGCAAGGGGUGACCUCACAGAAAGGCUCUGAGUCCUGGCUCUGAGGUUCUCUUUUUCUUGGUGCUUUAUUAGCAACUCUGAAUAUUUUUAUAAAACUAGUUACAUUUUAAAUGGAUUGAAACUUGUUUGAUUUACCUUUGGUUUCUCUGUGAAAAGUGUCACAGCAGCACUCGGCAGGCAGACCAGUCGUCACAGCAGACUCAGAAAGGUCAAGUGUAAUCGAGUAGUCUGUUCAUUGUGAGGAGUACAUCCCAGUGCCUUUUACCUGGAUUUCUAAUAUUAAGUGAAAUGGGUGCAGCAUUCCUUUGGAAAUAAAAACUUUACAAUCAGUAGGGUUUUUUUUCAUUUACGAUUUUUUCAGAGCACCUACUUUCUCUUCCUCCUUGGUCUGUCAAUACGUAUGUUGCAAAUAUUUUUUCCUCUAAGUGAAAUUAUCACAGGUUGUCUCAAUAGCACAACUAACUGAAUGUUUCUUAACUGUAGGAACCAAAAGGGGGAGAACCUGGGCUCUCCAGCAGGAAACACUUAAUCAAAUGUUUGAAUAAUCACAAAUUAAGACAUGACUGAUUGGCCCAGUAAAUUUUUUGCUUAAUGUUUUUUCAAGAUCUGGUUUGAAUGUUUCUUAUUAAAGUUAUCUUAUGUGGGUAUUUUAUUUUGAAAGGUAUAAUAGUUUGUAUAUUUAACAGUAAGGGUAAAAAUGUAACCAAAAUUAGUAUUCUUUCUCUAUACUUACUGGUACUUGAAGAUUCCUUUCAAAAGAAACCCCAGCCUUUUCCUCAUUUCAAUACUUAAUUCCUUAUUUUAACUUAAGUGAUCUUUCUAAUUCAAAGGCUGUGUUCUUUUUGAAUACCAUGCAUGGAGGUUAAGCUGAUGUUAAAACAGUUUGCAAUAAAAAAAAUCAGCUUAAGUCAUUUAAUCAUUUCAAGUGCAUCCUGUAAAAGUAAGUUUGAGAAAAUUGAGAAUUGUGUUUCCAUUAAGUUUUGCAUAUCUUUUGUUAUGCCAUGUAAAUUCCCUUCUUUUUCAUGUGAUUACAGAAAGGGUAUGAUAAAAUGAUUAGUUAAUUUACAUUCACUUGUAGCAAUUACAUGAGAAUUUGAAUUUUGUCGUGUUUGGGUUUGUUCAUUCCUGUGAAUGAUGGUACAGUUGGGUGAGAUUUUCUGUUAUGGUACCCAAACUCACCAUUUGGUCCUCUUUAAUCUUUGAGGGUUUCAAUAAAAAUUGUUCACUCA
Artibeus jamaicensis (Jamaican fruit-eating bat) is the source of this 5201-nucleotide RNA transcript. It is a transcript of the gene named YTH N6-methyladenosine RNA binding protein F3, with no coding region annotated. The transcript has 8 exons. The record is from RefSeq and is a predicted model, not a curated record. Lineage: Eukaryota; Metazoa; Chordata; Mammalia; Chiroptera; Phyllostomidae.